UUUCCGUAGGUGAACCUACGGAAGGAUCAUUACUGAGUGAGGGCCCUCUGGGUCCAACCUCCCACCCGUGUUUAUUAUACCUUGUUGCUUCGGUGAGCCCGCCUCACGGCCGCCGGGGGGCAUCUGCCCCCGGGCCCGCGCCCACCGAAGACACCUAGAACUCUGUAUGAAGAUUGCAGUCUGAGCAAAAACUAAAUAAGUUAAAACUUUCAACAACGGAUCUCUUGGUUCCGGCAUCGAUGAAGAACGCAGG
This 253-nucleotide unclassified non-coding RNA is filed under the name plant metagenome. RNAcentral describes it as "partial contains small subunit ribosomal RNA, internal transcribed spacer 1, and 5.8S ribosomal RNA". The stretch from base 205 to 253 matches the Rfam family "5.8S ribosomal RNA", at positions 1 to 49 of the family's 154-position model. The record is from RNAcentral.